GGUUGUGGCUCAGUGGUAGAGUACUUGCCUAGCACAUGUGAGGCCCUGGGUUCAAUCCUCAGCACCA
RNAcentral lists this transfer RNA (67 nucleotides) under Marmota monax (woodchuck). RNAcentral describes it as "tRNA.Ala". The record is from RNAcentral. Lineage: Eukaryota; Metazoa; Chordata; Mammalia; Rodentia; Sciuridae.